GCACGAGUAGCAAAGCGGUUAUGCGCGGGACUGCAGAUCCUGAUACGGGAGUUCGAAUCUCCCCUCGUGCU
Molecule: transfer RNA, 71 nt
Filed under: Methanobacteriota archaeon
Lineage: Archaea; Methanobacteriati; Methanobacteriota
Description: Euryarchaeota archaeon tRNA-Cys
Rfam family: tRNA
About the family: Transfer RNA (tRNA) molecules are approximately 80 nucleotides in length. Their secondary structure includes four short double-helical elements and three loops (D, anti-codon, and T loops). Further hydrogen bonds mediate the characteristic L-shaped molecular structure. tRNAs have two regions of fundamental functional importance: the anti-codon, which is responsible for specific mRNA codon recognition, and the 3' end, to which the tRNAs corresponding amino acid is attached (by aminoacyl-tRNA synthetases). tRNAs cope with the degeneracy of the genetic code in two manners: having more than one tRNA (with a specific anti-codon) for a particular amino acid; and 'wobble' base-pairing, i.e. permitting non-standard base-pairing at the 3rd anti-codon position.
Source: RNAcentral